This 307-nucleotide unclassified non-coding RNA is filed under the name rhizosphere metagenome. RNAcentral's name for it is "partial ribosomal RNA internal transcribed spacer region". The record is from RNAcentral.
GUAGGUGAACCUGCGGAAGGAUCAUUAACACAAUGUCGAUAGAUCACAUCUAUGUGGAGGACUUCGUCUGACUCAUUUUUGUGACUAUCAACUACAAACCAACCCGCGCACUUGUUUAACAAACAAAACUUCACCCUCAUUUUUAUAAUGAGCGUCUUUUUUCAUUUCUUAUGAAACACCCCGUCUAAACCGUACUGAUAUACUUUCUCAUCUCUAUCUUCGGAUGUGAUAUGGGAAACAACAUUUGUCCUAACCAGUCAAAUGACACAAUAUAAUACAACUCUUAACAACGGAUAUCUCGGCUGAC